GGCCUAACACAUGCAAGUCGAGCGGUAGAGAGAAGCUUGCUUCUCUUGAGAGCGGCGGACGGGUGAGUAAUGCCUAGGAAUCUGCCUGGUAGUGGGGGAUAACGUUCGGAAACGGACGCUAAUACCGCAUACGUCCUACGGGAGAAAGCAGGGGACCUUCGGGCCUUGCGCUAUCAGAUGAGCCUAGGUCGGAUUAGCUAGUUGGUGAGGUAAUGGCUCACCAAGGCGACGAUCCGUAACUGGUCUGAGAGGAUGAUCAGUCACACUGGAACUGAGACACGGUCCAGACUCCUACGGGAGGCAGCAGUGGGGAAUAUUGGACAAUGGGCGAAAGCCUGAUCCAGCCAUGCCGCGUGUGUGAAGAAGGUCUUCGGAUUGUAAAGCACUUUAAGUUGGGAGGAAGGGUUGUAGAUUAAUACUCUGCAAUUUUGACGUUACCGACAGAAUAAGCACCGGCUAACUCUGUGCCAGCAGCCGCGGUAAUACAGAGGGUGCAAGCGUUAAUCGGAAUUACUGGGCGUAAAGCGCGCGUAGGUGGUUUGUUAAGUUGGAUGUGAAAUCCCCGGGCUCAACCUGGGAACUGCAUUCAAAACUGACUGACUAGAGUAUGGUAGAGGGUGGUGGAAUUUCCUGUGUAGCGGUGAAAUGCGUAGAUAUAGGAAGGAACACCAGUGGCGAAGGCGACCACCUGGACUAAUACUGACACUGAGGUGCGAAAGCGU
RNAcentral lists this ribosomal RNA (722 nucleotides) under uncultured bacterium. Its description in RNAcentral is "bacterial SSU rRNA". It matches the Rfam family "Bacterial small subunit ribosomal RNA", at positions 45 to 762 of the family's 1533-position model. The record is from RNAcentral.